This is a non-coding RNA of Pantherophis guttatus, 580 nucleotides long. The record is from RefSeq and is a predicted model, not a curated record. Lineage: Eukaryota; Metazoa; Chordata; Lepidosauria; Squamata; Colubridae.
AGAGGGAGAAAGGUAUGUCCCAGCCUUGUCAAUUUCAGCUCUCCUGGGUAAGCAAGGAUGAGAUUUCAUGUUGUGGCUAAGGGUGUGUGAUGUCCAGAGCAUUUGGAGGUCAGCCUGGCGGAGGUAACACCAUGCAUGUGAUUGCUAUUUUAUAAACCGCACGGAGAGAAAUCCCUACCCCAAGAAUUUGACCAUCUCUAAUUGGAGACCAGGACAACAGAGAGGAAAGGAAAAGAUGCAAUUGCAGCUUGGUUUUCCUGUGAAAUGGAUCCAUGGCGGCUUCAUCCCCAACAGCGGUCAUUGUCUGAAGGGGCCACUCUCAAGCCGAGGAGUGAGAUGCGAAGAUGUCAUCCAGGGCUGGUAGCUGGAGUCCGAUGAUAUUCUGAUGAGCCCGUCAAGUCAAGAUGGCAGCCAUGAUGGAAGAAACCUGGUGGCGCAGCAGACUAAUAGCCUGUUAUUAACAUUCAGCUCCCUGCAAUUACUGCAAGUUCAAAUCUCCCCAGGCUCAAGGUUGACUCAGCCUUCCAUCCUUUCUAAGGUAGGUAAAUUGAGGACCAAGUUUGUGGGGGCAAUAAGUUGA